AUGUCGGCGGGCGGCCGUGACGAGGAGCGGCGGAAGCUGGCCGACAUCAUCCACCACUGGAACGCCAACCGGCUGGACCUGUUCGAGAUCAGCCAGCCGACCGAGGAUUUGGAGUUCCAUGGAGUGAUGAGAUUUUAUUUUCAAGAUAAAGCUGCUGGAAACUUUGCAACAAAAUGUAUUCGGGUCUCUAGUACUGCCACCACUCAAGAUGUAAUCGAAACGCUCGCGGAGAAAUUUCGACCUGAUAUGCGAAUGCUGUCGUCUCCCAAGUAUUCACUCUAUGAAGUGCAUGUCAGCGGAGAAAGAAGAUUGGAUAUAGAUGAGAAACCUCUAGUUGUACAACUGAAUUGGAACAAAGAUGAUCGGGAAGGCAGAUUUGUUCUUAAGAAUGAGAAUGACGCCAUUCCUCCUAAGGCUCAAAGUAAUGGACCUGAAAAGCAGGAAAAAGAAGGGGUUAUCCAGAACUUCAAGAGAACUCUCUCAAAGAAAGAAAAGAAGGAAAAAAAGAAGAGAGAAAAAGAGGCAUUGCGACAGGCAUCUGAUAAAGAUGAUAGACCUUUCCAAGGGGAGGAUGUUGAAAAUUCUCGACUGGCUGCUGAGGUUUACAAAGACAUGCCGGAAACCAGCUUUACUCGAACCAUUUCUAAUCCUGAGGUGGUUAUGAAACGACGGAGGCAGCAAAAAUUGGAAAAGAGAAUGCAGGAAUUUCGGAGCUCAGAUGGGCGGCCUGAUUCAGGUGGAACAUUGAGAAUUUAUGCAGAUAGUUUAAAACCAAAUAUUCCCUACAAGACAAUCCUGCUGUCUACUACAGAUCCUGCAGACUUUGCUGUGGCUGAAGCUUUAGAGAAGUAUGGUCUGGAAAAAGAAAACCCUAAGGAUUACUGCAUCGCCCGGGUUAUGCUUCCUCCUGGAGCCCAGCAUUCUGAUGAAAAGGGUGCUAAAGAAAUUAUUCUUGAUGAUGAUGAGUGUCCUUUACAAAUCUUCAGGGAAUGGCCAAGUGACAAAGGGAUUUUAGUCUUUCAAUUGAAGAGGAGGCCACCAGACCACAUCCCAAAGAAAACCAAGAAACACUUGGAAGGCAAGACACCCAAGGGAAAGGAGAGAGCUGACGGGUCUGGCUAUGGCUCCACCCUUCCUCCGGAGAAGCUGCCCUAUUUAGUAGAGUUAAGCCCAGAUGGUUCUGACUCUAGAGAUAAGCCAAAGCUUUACCGCCUUCAGUUAAGUGUUACUGAAGUUGGGACAGAAAAGUUGGAUGACAACUCUAUCCAGUUGUUUGGCCCAGGAAUUCAGCCCCAUCACUGUGACCUUACCAACAUGGAUGGAGUGGUCACUGUGACGCCCAGAAGUAUGGACGCAGAAACCUACGUGGAAGGCCAGCGCAUCUCAGAAACCACCAUGCUGCAGAGUGGCAUGAAAGUGCAGUUUGGGGCGUCCCAUGUAUUUAAGUUUGUGGACCCCAGUCAGGAUCAUGCUCUUGCAAAAAGAUCUGUGGAUGGAGGCCUGAUGGUUAAGGGCCCAAGACAUAAACCUGGAAUUGUUCAGGAGACAACUUUUGAUUUGGGAGGAGAUAUUCAUAGUGGGACAGCAUUACCGACAAGCAAGAGCACCACUAGGCUGGACAGCGACAGAGUGUCGUCUGCCUCUAGCACAGCCGAGCGGGGAAUGGUGAAGCCGAUGAUCAGAGUAGAACAGCAGCCAGAUUAUCGCAGGCAAGAAAGCAGAACACAGGAUGUUUCUGGGCCUGAACUGAUACUACCUGCAAGCAUUGAAUUCAGGGAAAGUUCUGAAGAUUCAUUUUUGUCUGCCAUUAUAAAUUAUACUAAUAGCUCUACAGUCCACUUUAAGUUGUCCCCUACAUAUGUAUUAUAUAUGGCAUGCCGGUAUGUAUUGUCCAACCAGUACAGACCUGACAUCAGCCCUACAGAGCGCACACAUAAAGUCAUUGCAGUCGUCAACAAGAUGGUGAGCAUGAUGGAGGGCGUCAUCCAGAAACAGAAGAAUAUUGCAGGGGCACUUGCCUUCUGGAUGGCAAAUGCAUCUGAACUUCUCAACUUCAUUAAGCAAGACCGAGACCUUAGUCGGAUCACACUGGAUGCUCAAGAUGUUUUAGCACAUUUGGUUCAAAUGGCAUUUAAAUACUUGGUUCACUGUCUUCAAUCAGAACUUAAUAAUUACAUGCCAGCCUUUCUAGAUGACCCUGAAGAGAACAGUCUGCAAAGACCAAAAAUAGAUGAUGUGCUGCACACGCUCACAGGAGCCAUGUCCUUGCUACGACGCUGCAGAGUCAAUGCCGCCCUGACCAUCCAGCUCUUCUCUCAGCUCUUCCACUUCAUCAAUAUGUGGCUGUUCAAUAGAUUGGUGACCGACCCAGAUUCGGGGCUGUGCUCCCAUUACUGGGGUGCAAUUAUCCGUCAGCAGUUGGGCCAUAUUGAAGCCUGGGCUGAGAAGCAGGGGCUGGAACUGGCUGCGGACUGUCAUCUGAGCAGGAUCGUGCAGGCAACGACUUUGCUUACCAUGGAUAAGUAUGCACCUGAUGACAUUCCAAAUAUAAACAGCACCUGCUUUAAGUUAAAUUCACUACAACUUCAAGCCUUAUUACAGAACUAUCACUGUGCACCUGAUGAGCCUUUUAUCCCAACGGAUCUUAUAGAAAAUGUAGUGACUGUGGCUGAAAACACUGCCGAUGAGCUGGCCCGCAGUGAUGGAAGGGAAGUGCAGUUGGAGGAGGAUCCUGAUCUGCAGCUGCCGUUUCUUUUGCCAGAAGAUGGUUAUUCUUGUGAUGUUGUCAGAAACAUUCCAAAUGGUUUACAAGAAUUUUUAGACCCUCUGUGCCAGAGAGGAUUUUGCAGGUUAAUUCCUCACACACGUUCACCAGGUACUUGGACAAUAUAUUUUGAAGGUGCAGAUUAUGAAAGUCACCUUCUGCGUGAGAACACAGAGCUGGCUCAGCCUCUGAGGAAAGAACCUGAAAUAAUCACUGUGACCCUAAAAAAGCAGAAUGGAAUGGGCCUUAGCAUUGUUGCAGCAAAGGGUGCUGGUCAAGAUAAACUAGGAAUCUAUGUGAAGUCGGUUGUGAAAGGAGGUGCUGCAGAUGUGGAUGGACGUCUAGCUGCAGGUGAUCAGCUCCUCAGUGUGGAUGGACGAAGUCUGGUUGGACUCUCUCAGGAAAGGGCAGCAGAACUCAUGACAAGAACAAGCUCUGUGGUGACACUGGAAGUAGCAAAGCAGGGUGCCAUCUACCACGGUCUGGCCACCCUUCUCAAUCAGCCAUCCCCCAUGAUGCAGAGAAUUUCAGAUCGUCGUGGCUCAGGUAAACCCCGACCAAAGAGUGAAGGCUUUGAGCUCUAUAAUAAUUCAACUCAAAAUGGGUCUCCUGAGAGUCCUCAGCUGCCUUGGGCAGAAUAUAGUGAACCAAAGAAAUUGCCUGGUGAUGACAGACUGAUGAAAAAUAGAGCUGAUCACCGUUCCAGCCCCAACGUAGCAAAUCAGCCUCCUAGUCCUGGAGGGAAAAGUGCAUAUGCCUCUGGAACAACAGCGAAGAUAACAUCUGUCUCUACUGGAAACCUCUGCACUGAGGAGCAGACGCCUCCGCCUAGACCUGAAGCCUACCCCAUCCCCACUCAGACGUACACCAGAGAGUAUUUUACCUUCCCAGCUUCCAAAUCCCAGGAUCGGAUGGCUCCUCCUCAGAACCAGUGGCCAAAUUAUGAGGAAAAGCCGCAUAUGCACACAGAUAGUAAUCAUUCCAGUAUUGCAAUUCAGCGUGUUACACGUUCCCAAGAAGAACUUCGAGAAGAUAAAGCUUACCAACUUGAGCGGCAUCGAAUAGAGGCAGCUAUGGACCGAAAGUCUGAUAGUGAUAUGUGGAUAAAUCAGAGCUCCUCACUGGACUCCAGUACCUCUAGCCAAGAGCAUCUGAACCAUUCCUCUAAGUCGGUCACCCCUGCUUCUACACUGACCAAAAGUGGCCCUGGCCGUUGGAAAACACCAGCAGCCAUACCGGCCACCCCUGUGGCCAUCUCCCAGCCAAUCCGAACAGACCUGCCUCCGCCACCCCCGCCACCUCCAGUCCACUAUGCCGGUGAUUUCGAUGGAAUGUCCAUGGAUUUGCCUCUCCCACCACCCCCUUCCACCAACCAGAUAGGGCUGCCGUCUGCACAGGUGGCUGCUGCCGAACGGAAAAAGAGAGAAGAACAUCAGCGUUGGUAUGAGAAGGAGAAGGCCCGCCUGGAGGAGGAGCGGGAGAGGAAGCGGAGAGAGCAGGAGAGGAAGUUGGGCCAGAUGCGCACUCAGUCCUUAAACCCUGCUCCGUUUUCUCCCCUGACUGCACAGCAGAUGAAGCCCGAAAAGCCUUCCACACUCCAGCGGCCACAGGAAACAGUCAUUCGGGAGCUGCAGCCUCAGCAGCAGCCCCGCACGAUCGAGCGCAGAGACUUGCAGUACAUCACAGUCAGCAAAGAGGAGCUUUCCUCGGGGGACAGUCUGUCCCCCGACCCGUGGAAGCGGGACGCCAAGGAGAAGCUGGAGAAGCAGCAGCAGAUGCACAUCGUGGACAUGCUGAGCAAGGAGAUCCAGGAGCUCCAGAGCAAACCGGACCGCAGCGCCGAGGAGAGCGACCGGCUGCGCAAGCUCAUGCUGGAGUGGCAGUUCCAGAAGAGACUCCAGGAGUCGAAGCAGAAGGACGAAGAUGACGAGGAGGAGGAGGAGGACGAUGUGGACACCAUGCUGAUCAUGCAGCGCCUGGAGGCUGAACGAAGAGCGAGGGUAAAGGGGGAGUGCUUUGGCUGCGCCCAUCUGUGGUCCCUAUUUUAGCUUCGCUAUGUUUCCUAUGGGGAUAG
This 4838-nucleotide small RNA is filed under the name Pan troglodytes (chimpanzee). RNAcentral's name for it is "retained intron". The record is from RNAcentral. Lineage: Eukaryota; Metazoa; Chordata; Mammalia; Primates; Hominidae.